This 29-nucleotide non-coding RNA is filed under the name Mus musculus (house mouse). The record is from RNAcentral. Lineage: Eukaryota; Metazoa; Chordata; Mammalia; Rodentia; Muridae.
UGGUCUACAAAUGUCAUACGAUCCAAGAU